UACGUAGGGGGCAAGCGUUGUCCGGAAUUAUUGGGCGUAAAGCGCGCGCAGGCGGCAAUAUAAGUCUGGUGUUUAAACCUGGGGCUCAACCUCGGGUCGCACUGGAAACUGUAUAGCUAGAGUGUAGGAGAGGAAAGUGGAAUUCCCGGUGUAGUGGUGAAAUGCGUAGAUAUCGGGAGGAACACCAGUGGCGAAGGCGACUACCUGGCCUGUUCUUGACGCUGAGGCGCGAAAGCUGGGGGAGCAAACGGG
RNAcentral lists this ribosomal RNA (252 nucleotides) under uncultured bacterium. RNAcentral's name for it is "partial 16S ribosomal RNA". It matches the Rfam family "Bacterial small subunit ribosomal RNA", at positions 524 to 776 of the family's 1533-position model. The record is from RNAcentral.